GUACUCGCUUCAGCAGCACAUAUACUAAAAAGUUGGAAUGAUACAAAGAUUAGCAUGGCCCCUGAGCAAGGAUGAUACACAAAUUCGUGAAGCGUUCCAUAUUUUU
Small nuclear RNA from Myodes glareolus (Bank vole), 106 nucleotides. Lineage: Eukaryota; Metazoa; Chordata; Mammalia; Rodentia; Cricetidae. The record is from RefSeq and is a predicted model, not a curated record.